UUGAGUCUUUAUAGUUUUAAAACAGUUGGCUUAUUGGCUGCUCUACGUGCCUCUCUUUUGUUACUGGUAAGCCAUUUUUUUUGUCUUUCCAGCAAGCAAAAAUGAUACAUAAAUCUUAGAAUCAUGACAACUUAUUUAACUUUUCAUAUUUGGCAGUGUAGGCAUGUACUAUAAACACUACUUAAAUAUCUUUCUUUGAUUUCAGCAUUUUAGUGACAUCACAUCUUUGUACAACCUAAAUCCUCCUGCUCCACCAGAAGUAGAAGUAAAAUGUGCAUCACCCCCAAAAAACUGGAAUAGCUUCAACACACUCUAUCCAAGUUAUGAUCAGUAUUAUCAGUCUUUAGAGCUGCAUGAUAAAGGUACAAAACAGCACAGGUAGUACUGCCACAAUAUGUCUACUUUGAGACCAGGUGAAAAUCAAAGAGUAUUGGACUCUUAAUUGUCUAAUCCUGCAAAGAUCUAUCACUGAGGGGAUACAGAUUAUAAUUUAAAUGCUCAGUGGUAUCUUGUUUUUUCUGAAAAAGGUUAGAUAAAUAUGCUAAUUUCUUAUUCUCCAAACAAAAUGGUUCAAAUUUUUCUCCACCAGGUCUAUCUAAUGUGAAUCCUGAAGCCAUGAUCCCACCAUUAAAUCAUCAUGAGGAUUUUAUUAACUCUGACCUUUCAAGUUAUAUGCAAAAGAAGUCAUGUUCUUCAGAUGUAGUUGUGGGGAAGAAGCAGGACUUCUUUGUUGUGCCAAAGGAUUAUGAAGAUUCUGCUCAUCCAGAUGUUAAGGAUUCUGUUUAUGUUCAACGACAGCCCUUCAUGAUGUGCUCUAGCUCUGAUCAUUAUUCCAAAAAUUCUGAAGAGGAUUUCCUUGCAACUUUCAGUGAAUAUGCAUCUCCAGAGAGAUCUAAGAGUUUUCUAGAAGAAUUUAGAGGUGUGACAUCUAGGAGCCCAGAAAUUCUAAUUGACAAGACCCUUUGGAAUGACUGUUCAUCCACUUACACAUAUGAUUCAUUUGCCCCUGUUGAUCCAGAUGAGCUUCAAAGUCCAAACUUUCACCAAACACCUAGAGAAUCUUCAGGAAGGAGAAAAAAUUGUGCAUCAUUACUAUGGACAGAAGAAAAAAAUGUGACAGAUUUAGGAUUUGCAGAAGUACCACAGGGCAAAAAAAGGAGACUGACAUUUGAAAGAGUCCCUGGAAGACGUGAUGGACAAACACGUCUUAAAUUCUUUUGAGUGGAGUGAGGAGCUGCAUACCAUCAAUACUUUUUUAAAUUUUUAAAACAUUUAUAGCAAAAUCGAUUAAAUUCAGUUCUUUGUUCAUUUUUAAAGAAAAAUUGGGGUUGAGGAAGAGUGUUGGCAAUUUGCUCAUUAAGGACUUUUAUAUAUGUUUAAAAUUUUACUAACAAAGGUGUUCCCUGAACCUGGAGAAUUUAUUGCUUUUCUGUUUGUUCUUAUAAGUCAUAUAAG
This 1455-nucleotide long non-coding RNA is filed under the name Dromaius novaehollandiae (emu). Its description in RNAcentral is "lncRNA (ENSDNVG00000017063.1)". The record is from RNAcentral. Lineage: Eukaryota; Metazoa; Chordata; Aves; Casuariiformes; Dromaiidae.